Molecule: ribosomal RNA, 348 nt
Filed under: uncultured bacterium
Lineage: Bacteria
Description: partial 16S ribosomal RNA
Rfam family: Bacterial small subunit ribosomal RNA
Source: RNAcentral
CCUACGGGUGGCAGCAGUGAGGAAUAUUGGUCAAUGGGCGCAAGCCUGAACCAGCCAAGUCGCGUGAGGGAAGACGGCCCUACGGGUUGUAAACCUCUUUUGCCGGGGAGCAAGCCUGAGCACGUGUGCCCAGGCGGAGAGUACCCGGAGAAAAAGCAUCGGCUAACGCCGUGCCAGCAGCCGCGGUAAUCCGGGGGAUGCGAGGGUUAUCCGGAGUUUUUGGGUUGAAGGGGGGCGCAGGCGGGCGGUUAAGCCGCCGGUAAAAAUUCGGGGCGCAACCCGGGCGAGACGUGGGAACUGGCAGGCGUGAGUGGGCGAGAGGUAUGGGGGAGGGGUGGUGGAGCGGUG